Molecule: ribosomal RNA, 435 nt
Filed under: uncultured bacterium
Lineage: Bacteria
Description: bacterial SSU rRNA
Rfam family: Bacterial small subunit ribosomal RNA
Source: RNAcentral
CAGGCCUAACACAUGCAAGUCGAACGAAGGCUUCGGCCUUAGUGGCGCACGGGUGCGUAACGCGUGGGAAUCUGCCCAAAGGUACGGAAUAACUCGGGGAAACUCGUGCUAAUACCGUAUGAUGUCGCAAGACCAAAGAUUUAUCGCCUUUGGAUGAGCCCGCGUAGGAUUAGCUAGUUGGUGGGGUAAAGGCCUACCAAGGCGACGAUCCUUAGCUGGUCUGAGAGGAUGAUCAGCCACACUGGGACUGAGACACGGCCCAGACUCCUACGGGAGGCAGCAGUGGGGAAUAUUGGACAAUGGGCGAAAGCCUGAUCCAGCAAUGCCGCGUGAGUGAUGAAGGCCUUAGGGUUGUAAAGCUCUUUUACCCGGGAAGAUAAUGACUGUACCGGGAGAAUAAGCUCCGGCUAACUCCGUGCCAGCAGCCGCGGUAAU